ACGGAAGGCAGCAGUGAGGAAUAUUGGUCAAUGGACGGAAGUCUGAACCAGCCAAGUCGCGUGAAGGAUGAAGGUAUUAUGUAUUGUAAACUUCUUUAGCAGUGGAGUAAUAAGGGGAUCGCGAUCCCUGAUGCAAGUACACUGAGAAUAAGGAUCGGCUAACUCCGUGCCAGCAGCCGCGGUAAUACGGAGGAUCCGAGCGUUAUCCGGAUUUAUUGGGUUUAAAGGGUGCGCAGGCGGCUUCUUAAGUCAGUGGUUAAAUCGUGACGCUCAACGUCAUCACGCCAUUGAUACUGGAGAGCUUGAUUGCGGUCGAGGUUUGCGGAAUUCGUUGUGUAGCGGUGAAAUGCAUAGAUAUGACGAAGAACACCGAUUGCGUAGGCAGCAGACUAGGCCGUAAAUGACGCUCAUGCACGAAAGUGCGGGGAUCGAACAGGAUUAGAUACCCUGGUA
This 453-nucleotide ribosomal RNA is filed under the name uncultured Porphyromonadaceae bacterium. RNAcentral's name for it is "partial 16S ribosomal RNA". It matches the Rfam family "Bacterial small subunit ribosomal RNA", at positions 341 to 792 of the family's 1533-position model. Lineage: Bacteria; Pseudomonadati; Bacteroidota; Bacteroidia; Bacteroidales; Porphyromonadaceae. The record is from RNAcentral.